GCCUAGUUAGCUUGGUUGGUGAAGCGUCUGCCUUGUAAGCGCUAGGCCGCGGGUUCGAUUCCCG
Molecule: transfer RNA, 64 nt
Filed under: Diaphorina citri (Asian citrus psyllid)
Lineage: Eukaryota; Metazoa; Arthropoda; Insecta; Hemiptera; Psyllidae
Rfam family: tRNA
About the family: Transfer RNA (tRNA) molecules are approximately 80 nucleotides in length.
Source: Rfam by way of RNAcentral